CAUUGCUCAAUGCUCAGUCUAAUUGAUAAAUUUUGAUAAUAGGUUAUUGAUAAUAUUGUUAUAAAAGCAGUAUAAUUAGCUAUCAAUUAUUGUUGUUCCCACAGAGCAAGUAAUAUGUUGUUCCAAACAGGAGAACAGUUCAAAUUCAUAUUAAUAACUAAAAUGACAAGGUAUAUAAAAGGUAAAAAAGAACAACAUAGGUAUUUCUACAGAAAUGUUUGAGAUUUGGUAACAUUUGAUCCCUUUAAAUGGAUUAAUAAUCAUCGAGUUGUCAUUUCAAAUAAAGUAUUACCGCCCCAGAUGAAAAAAUUCAUACUAAUAGGCUUGAUGAAAUCAAGGGCCAUAUGUUUUUGGUAACGGCUAAGGAAUUUACUGAGGUGUUUUAAUACCUAGUUUUUGAUAAAAUAAAGAUGUGUCUGUGAAUGUGUCAAAUGUGAAUAACAAAAUUAGUUUCAUUGCUUACUUAUGUAAUAGGAAGGGACAGUUUGGGAUGAAUCGCACAUUCGUGUGAGCAACCUCAUUUCUGAAUGUUGGUACUCAGGCACACCAUUUUCCCAUAAAAAGUUAAGCAGCGUUUAAAGACGAAGUAUGUUAGGGGGUGCAAUAUUAUUUGAAGUCUGACCUCUGUAUACGCUGCCGCCACCACAUAGGUGUGACAUACCAAGCUAAACGACAGAACAUUCAAAGGCGUCAAGUUAAAUUAAGAAAAUUUAAUUGAUACAACUGGAUAUAAUGGAACAAGAGUUUAUUCAAAACUCUUAACAUUCUUAUUUUUACGAGUCCAAAAUUUUUAUUACUUUUUAAUCAGCCAUAAUCGUACAUGUACCUUGUAUUAAUAAUUAACAAACAAGGUAAUGUUAGGAUUUAUAUAAUAAAAUAAUAUGUAAACUAUA
Colias croceus (clouded yellow) is the source of this 893-nucleotide long non-coding RNA. RefSeq lists it as uncharacterized. NCBI's taxonomy places the organism in Eukaryota, Metazoa, Arthropoda, Insecta, Lepidoptera, Pieridae. The transcript has 2 exons. The record is from RefSeq and is a predicted model, not a curated record.